Molecule: ribosomal RNA, 325 nt
Filed under: uncultured eukaryote
Lineage: Eukaryota
Description: partial 18S ribosomal RNA
Rfam family: Eukaryotic small subunit ribosomal RNA
Source: RNAcentral
CCCUUAGAUGUUCUGGGCUGCACGCGCGCUACACUGAUGCAUUCAACAAGUUUUACCUUGGCCGAGAGGCCUGGGAAAUCUUUCAAAUAUGUAUCGUGAUAGGGAUAGAUUAUUGCAAUUAUUAAUCUUGAACGAGGAAUUCCUAGUAAAUGCAGAUCAUCAUUCUGCGUUGAUUACGUCCCUGCCCUUUGUACACACCGCCCGUCGCACCUACCGAUUGAAUGAUCCGGUGAAGCCUCGGGAUUGUGCCCAGAGAACUUUAUUGUGAUUUGGGUGUGAGAACUUGUCUAAACCUUAUCAUUUAGAGGAAGGUGAAGUCGUAACA